This 434-nucleotide long non-coding RNA is filed under the name Phoenix dactylifera (date palm). Its description in RNAcentral is "long non-coding RNA (PDAC_LNC009244)". The record is from RNAcentral. Lineage: Eukaryota; Viridiplantae; Streptophyta; Magnoliopsida; Arecales; Arecaceae.
AUUUAAUAACUUCAUAAAUAUAAAGUUGACAUUAACAAUUGAUACAGUCUCCAAAUUACCAAUAGAUCCAACACAAGAUUGUUUCUCGAUACAUAAUCAAGACCAAGUUAAGAAACUGAUACGAACCUUAUGCUUUCCUUAACAAUUGAUCCAUAUAUUAAAACUAUUUGUCGUGUAGUGUAUGUCAAAACAUAAUAUUAUUUUCAUUCAUUGAAUUUUAUAAAACUCCAUAAAUUUGAUUUGCAAGAACAAAUCAUUUAAGUUUACAAAAUGUACAUUCAAAAUUAUGCAUGUAAAUACAAUGAUUUCACUGAAUCUAGAUACGAAUUUCAAAUCUUUUUUAAAAUAAUGAUACAUAAAAUGCAUAGUAAAUAAUAGGGUGUUAGAGGUACUUAUGGAUCAAGAUAAACAAAAUCUAGAAACUUCUCCCCAGU